Molecule: small RNA, 1448 nt
Filed under: Rattus norvegicus (Norway rat)
Lineage: Eukaryota; Metazoa; Chordata; Mammalia; Rodentia; Muridae
Description: uncharacterized LOC102547847
Source: RNAcentral
UUGAAGGCAUGCACCACCACAGCCCAGGUAUGGGGGACAUCCUGUCUUGCCUGUUUUGUUGUUGUUUGGUUGACUGCGGUGUUUGUUUGCUUGUUUUGAUUUGUUUUGCUAAGGCUGAGGCUUCAUGGGCUCCCCCACUUCCAGGUCUGCAUGGCUAUUGGUGUCUCCUUGUUCAGUCUCCAUGUUCACGGGGCUGAGACUGCAGUGGUAUAGCAAAAGGGGAAUUUCCAUUAGAAGGAAACACUUUAAUAUAGAAGUAGGGUUUUUUCUGUCUUUUGUUUUCUUUGGUUUUAUUUCAUCAAUGACUGACUCUUUAUUCAAAAACUCACUUUUUAUUGAACAGAUUAGAUUUUUGUUUAAAGCUUGGAUUUUAUUACUUGAAGGAUUGACUCUACAUUAAAAAGAUCGAUAUUUUAUUCAAAUGAUGAAAAAUCUCAAAUGUGUGGACGUUGGAGGGUGGGGUAGAGGGCUGAGAACUGUCUGGGCAAAGCAAACUGAGUCAGAAUAGAGUGGUGAGACCUUAGAUAUUUCAGACUCCAUUGAAUAGAUUGACUUUUCAUGAACAUUGCUGAUUGGUUUUUACAGAUUCGACAUUUAUUUACAGAAGAGACAUUCAACUUCAAAGGCUGAUUUUAUGAAAAAUUCAGCCUUUCUGAGAAGGAUCAACUUCUCAUUUCGAUCAUGAAGGUAAAGGGAUUGCAGAGGGAAUUUAUAUUCUUGAUUCAAUUGUUAAACUGGUUCCCCUUGGAUUACCAGUUUAACUUCGCACAUUAGCCCACUAAAGACCAAAGAACAUGAGUUUUCUUCACACCCUGAUUGUCUCCUAGAUCAGCAUCGAUAGUGUCCCAGGAGACACCAUCAACAGGGUAAAGCAAAUGUCUUGAGGCAAGAUCCUGCCUCCCAGAGCAGGAACCAGCUUCUCUUCAGAAAGGAGCUGUGCACCUGAACAACAGAGCCUUCCUGAGACCACACUUGUAGAUGCUAAACUGGGCUGGACCAGAUCAGGGAUCCUGGAGUGCACUAGAGCCUGUAAAGAAGUCUCUGGAUACAAAACUCUAUCUUCUUCCCUGAGAUAUUAUCGACAGCAUAUAUCUGGAAGAAGCAGAGAGUAGCAUUGUGUUUUUUUGCAUACAGCCAGCCCCAAGAAGUCUCCAAGCAGAGACCAAAGAAGCUUUGAGGAAGGAAGGAGGUUGAGAGCAGAGUUGCACCAGGCCGUUCAGAAGGGACAUCUUGAAGAGAACUCCUGGUUCUGGAGAAAGUAAGGCAUGGAACCAGAGAUAACCUGGGAACUUGGGAACUUGCUGGUGUUUCAGUCUUCAGAGAGCUGAAGGAAAUAUCUGGGUACCCAGAUGUGGUGGUGGACCCACUGCACCUCCCAAUGCAUGCACUCUGAUUGCAAUUGAUAGCAUAUCAACAUGGAAUCUUUGCCAUUUUUAAUAAAUAUAUUG